RNAcentral lists this small RNA (76 nucleotides) under Rhizobium etli. RNAcentral describes it as "miscellaneous other RNA". Lineage: Bacteria; Pseudomonadati; Pseudomonadota; Alphaproteobacteria; Hyphomicrobiales; Rhizobiaceae. RNAcentral also lists the same sequence under 1 other name. The record is from RNAcentral.
GCGGGCCUGAUGAAACCUAUUCUGCGCCUAGCUUAGAUUUGAGUCGUUUCAUACCAUUUAGAAAGGGGUGGAAACA